This 253-nucleotide ribosomal RNA is filed under the name uncultured bacterium. RNAcentral describes it as "partial 16S ribosomal RNA". It matches the Rfam family "Bacterial small subunit ribosomal RNA", at positions 524 to 776 of the family's 1533-position model. The record is from RNAcentral.
UACAGAGGGGGCAAGCGUUGUUCGGAAUUACUGGGCGUAAAGGGCGCGUAGGCGGCCUUCUAAGUCGAACGUGAAAUCCCCGGGCUCAACCCGGGAACUGCGUCCGAUACUGGAAGGCUUGAAUUCGGGAGAGGGAUGCGGAAUUCCAGGUGUAGCGGUGAAAUGCGUAGAUAUCUGGAGGAACACCGGUGGCGAAGGCGGCAUCCUGGACCGGCAUUGACGCUGAGGCGCGAAAGCGUGGGGAGCAAACAGG